This 253-nucleotide ribosomal RNA is filed under the name uncultured bacterium. Its description in RNAcentral is "partial 16S ribosomal RNA". It matches the Rfam family "Bacterial small subunit ribosomal RNA", at positions 524 to 776 of the family's 1533-position model. The record is from RNAcentral.
GACGAACCACCCAAACGUUAUUCGGAAUUACUGGGCGUAAAGGGUGCGCAGGCGGCUUGGCAAGUCGGAAGUGAAAUCCCAGGGCUUAACCCUGGAAUUGCUUUCGAAACUGCCAAGCUUGAGUCUCGGAGAGGUUAGCGGAAUUCCCAGUGUAGAGGUGAAAUUCGUAGAUAUUGGGAGGAACACCAGUGGCGUAAGCGGCUAACUAGACGAGUACUGACGCUCAGGCACGAAAGCGUGGGGAUCAAACAGG